RNAcentral lists this RNase P RNA (357 nucleotides) under Candidatus Omnitrophota bacterium. RNAcentral's name for it is "Candidatus Omnitrophica bacterium (sediment metagenome) RNase P RNA component class A". It matches the Rfam family "Bacterial RNase P class A". From Rfam's summary of the family: Ribonuclease P (RNase P) is a ubiquitous endoribonuclease, found in archaea, bacteria and eukarya as well as chloroplasts and mitochondria. Its best characterised activity is the generation of mature 5'-ends of tRNAs by cleaving the 5'-leader elements of precursor-tRNAs. The record is from RNAcentral. Lineage: Bacteria; Pseudomonadati; Candidatus Omnitrophota.
AAGCAAGGCAAGAUGGUUGCCUCGACGAUUGGAUUCGUUGGGGAGGAAAGUCCGAGCUCCCAAGGGUAGUGCAUCCCGAUAAUGCGGGACCGUCUGGGAAAUCAUACCGGAUGAGGAUCAGAGCCACAGUGACGAUACCUGAGACCGAAAGGUCGAAGGGGUGAAACGAGCAAUCUCUGCACGGAGCAAUGCCAAAUAGGGGAAGAUCCGGUUUUCCGGAGCGAAGCGGCCCGUUUCGCCAAUAUUCCCGGGUAGGCUGCAAGAGUUAAAGGAGCAAUCCUUUAAGUGAGUUCAAUAACCGUCGCUCGAAGAUUUUCUAGAGAGCAACAGAACUCGGCUUAUUUGCCUUGCUUGAAU